This 396-nucleotide ribosomal RNA is filed under the name uncultured bacterium. RNAcentral's name for it is "partial 16S ribosomal RNA". It matches the Rfam family "Bacterial small subunit ribosomal RNA", at positions 360 to 774 of the family's 1533-position model. The record is from RNAcentral.
AAUAUUGCACAAUGGGGGAAACCCAGAUGCAGCGACGCCGCGUGAGCGAAGAAGGNCUNNGGGUCNUNAAGCACUGUCUUAAGNNNNNAAACGAACGGUUCCUUAGGAGGAAGACCCGGCUAACUACGUGCCAGCAGCCGCGUUACUACGUAGGGGGCGAGCGUUAUCCGGAAUUAUUGGGCGGAAAGGGUGCGUAGGCGGCGUUUUAAGUCAGAUGUGAAAGGCUACGGCUUAACCGUAGUUAGCAUUUGAAACUAAAAGGCUUGAGUGCAGGGGAGGAGAGUGGAAUUCCUAGUGUAGCGGUGAAAUGCGUAGAUAUUAGGAGGAACACCAGUGGCGAAGGCGACUCUCUGGACUGCAACUGACGCUGAGGCACGAAAGCGUGGGGAGCGAACA